ACCGCAUGAUAUAGUGGUGAAAGCUCCGGCGGUCAAAGAUGGGCAUGCGUGCCAUUAGUUAGUUGGUGAGGUUACGGCUCACCAAGACAACGAUGGCUAUGGGGUCUGAGAGGAUGAUCCCCCACACUGGUACUGAGACACGGACCAGACUCCUACGGGAGGCAGCAGUGAGGAAUAUUGGUCAAUGGACGCAAGUCUGAACCAGCCAUGCCGCGUGCAGGAUGAAUGCCCUAUGGGUUGUAAACUGCUUUUCUACAAGAAGAAACUUCCUGAUGUAUCAGGAACUGACGGUAUUGUAGGAAUAAGCAUCGGCUAACUCCGUGCCAGCAGCCGCGGUAAUACGGAGGAUGCAAGCGUUAUCCGGAUUCAUUGGGUUUAAAGGGUGCGUAGGCGGGGUAGUAAGUCAGUGGUGAAAGCCUGCGGUUUAACCGUAGAAUUGCCAUUGAUACUGCUAUUCUUGAGUGCAGUUGAGGUAGGCGGAAUGUGUAAUGUAGCGGUGAAAUGCUUAGAUAUUACACAGAACACCGAUUGCGUAGGCAGCCUACUAAACUGUAACUGACGCUGAGGCACGAAAGCGUGGGGAGCGAACAGGAUUAGAUACCCUGGUAGUCCACGCUGUAAACUAUGAUCACUCGCUGUUGGCGAUACAUUGUCAGCGGCUGAGCGAAAGCAUUAAGUGAUCCACCUGGGGAGUACGGCCGCAAGGUUGAAACUCAAAGGAAUUGACGGGGGCCCGCACAAGCGGUGGAACAUGUGGUUUAAUUCGAUGAUACGCGAGGAACCUUACCCUGGGCUUAAAUGCAGAACGACGUACCGGGAAACUGGUACUCCCUUAGGGGCGGAAUGCAAGGUGCUGCAUGGUUGUCGUCAGCUAGUGCCGUGAGGGAUCGGGUUAAGUCCCAUAACGAGCGCAACCCUCAUUGUUAGUUGCCAGCGAGUAAUGUCGGGGACUCUAACGAAACUGCCGGUGUAAACCGUGAGGAAGGUGGGGAUGACGUCACAUCAGCACGGCCCUUAUGUCCAGGGCUACACACGUGUUACAAUGGCCAGUACAAAGGGCAGCUACCACGCGAGUGGAUGCUAAUCUCUAAAGCUGGUCUCAGUUCGGAUUGAAGUCUGCAACUCGACUUCAUGAAGCUGGAAUCGCAUAGUAAUCGCGCAUCAGCCAUGGCGCGGUGAUACGUUCCCGGGCCUUGUACACACCGCCCGUCAAGCCAU
Molecule: ribosomal RNA, 1218 nt
Filed under: uncultured organism
Description: bacterial SSU rRNA
Rfam family: Bacterial small subunit ribosomal RNA
Source: RNAcentral